AUUGAACGCUGGCGGCAUGCCUAACACAUGCAAGUCGAGCGGAUGAAGGGGGCUUGCUCCUGGAUUCAGCGGCGGACGGGGGGGUAAUGCCUAGGAAUCUGCCUGAUAUUGGGGAAUGACGUCCGGAAACGGGCGCUAAUCCCCCAUCCGUCCUGAUGGAGAACGUGGGGGAUCUUCGGACCGCACGCUAUCAGAUGAGCCUAGGUCGGAUUAGCUAGUUGGAGGGGUAAAGGCCUACCGAGGCGACGAUCCGAAACUGGUCUGAGAGGCUGACCAGUCACACUGGAACUGAGACACGGCCCAGACUCCUACGGGAGGAAGCAGUGGGGAAUAUUAGGCAAUGGGCGAAAGCCUGAUCCAGCAAUGCCGCGUGUGUGAAGAAGGUCUUCGGAUUGUAAAGCACUGUAAGUUGGGAGGAAGGACAGUAAUUUUAUCCCUUGCUGUUUUGACGGUACCAACAGAAUAAGCACCGGCUAACUUCGUG
RNAcentral lists this ribosomal RNA (484 nucleotides) under uncultured bacterium. RNAcentral's name for it is "partial 16S ribosomal RNA". It matches the Rfam family "Bacterial small subunit ribosomal RNA", at positions 30 to 507 of the family's 1533-position model. The record is from RNAcentral.